Long non-coding RNA from Medicago truncatula (barrel medic), 1783 nucleotides. RefSeq lists it as uncharacterized. The transcript is spliced from 2 exons. NCBI's taxonomy places the organism in Eukaryota, Viridiplantae, Streptophyta, Magnoliopsida, Fabales, Fabaceae. The record is from RefSeq and is a predicted model, not a curated record.
GUAUCUUCAUUUCAAAUCUAUAUUCCCUAAUUUGUUAUUUAAUUCAUAAAACUGAAAAAAGAAUGAAAUCAUAUCUUCAUUUGCAUGAAUUUCUUAUUUUCCAGAAAUGGAGUUUGCCGUAAAACCCAUAUCGAUAGAUCUCUUGAUAAUGAGGUUUAUUUCAGUGGUAGCUUGCUAUGUUUCGUACACUUUCAUUUUCAAUUUUGCUAAGUAUAAAUAAUUUAUGGGGUUUGGUUUGUUUGUCAAGUUUGGGAUUUUCAUAUUGGGGAUUUCCUAAAUAUAAGCAAUUUUUCUUUUAACCAGUGAUGAUCCAGUGACAUUGUAACUUAAGCAAUUCAAAGGCUAAUGAUGGUGCAGCCGAUAUGCAUCUUUAUGGAUGCAUCUUUUUUUUGUGUUCCUAUUUUUCUGGUGUAUAUGGAAAAUCAAGGAACUGAGUUUUUUAAACAGGUGAAGGCAGCUAGAGAAAGGUACGCAGAGGUGGAUGUAAUUUUAUUCUAUGGUUUGGUUUGAAAAGUCCCAGCUGUCAAUUGUUUUAAAAUUUGUAGAAUGAAUCGGUUGUGCAGGUGUUGUCUGUUGUAUUGGAGCGUUGCAUGUGCGUGUCAAGGAAGCAAAUUUAAGACAUAGUACAUGGCCUUGAAAUUGAACAGCAAGGAGACAAUUUAUUAAUCUAUCAAUUAUAGUCUUUGUAAAAUCACGGAUCUCAUAUUCUGCCGCGCACUACAAAUGUAUGUUGAUUGCAACUAUAUCCGUUUAGUUUGAGUUCUAAGUAAUUUUUUUUUAACAGCAAAUAUAUUCAGCUCUAGGCACAAGAAGUGCAACCUAGGCGCAGCACAGCAACAUACACCAGAAAAAUCAGCAGCCAGAUUAACAACCCAAGCCCAAACUGAACAAAGCAGAAAAAUACACAGCAACAACAUGCUGGCAGCACCUAAACCGGCAAGCUACUAACAGAAAACCGGAGCAGCAUGCUGACAGCACCUAAACAGAAAAUGCUAAUGACAGAAAAACACCAAAACAUCCACAAACAGAGUAAAAAACACAACCUGCCACUUCCCUAACGGCUAAGGAACUUCCCGGGAACCCAACACCACUCAAAAUACAUACUCGAAAACGCCUUAGUUCGGUACAGGACCCAAUUCCAAGAGAACACUUUAAUUUCAUCCACUACAUCUUCCACCUCCUUUAUUACAUUAUUAAACAACCUAUCGUUCCUAACUCUCUACAACACCCAAAUGGCCGCGUGCCAAAUGAGCGAAAAUCCCCUACAAACCUUCUUUCCUCUCAGGGCCGCAAAACAACACUCCACCUGAGCAAACAUAUUAUGCAGGGUUAUAAAACUAAUCCCACACCAGCUCAAAAUCUUAUCCCACACCCGAGCUGCCAUCCUGCAAUGCACAAACAAAUGAACAGAAGAUUCCUCCACUCCAACACACCAUAUGCAAUCCUUAGAGUUGACUGGUGUGGCGCCAACAUGCCUUCAAACUUAUAGGUAUCUUAACCAAGAAUAUGCAAUACGGAAUUGGAAGCGCUAAACUGGUAGAGAUUUGAUGAUCGCUAACAACUUAGAGUACUUAUGUUGAUAUUUACCAUGACAAAGCUAUGUACUAUGACCGUUUGGGAAAAGUUGUAAUGAGUAUUGUAAUUGGUAGUGUUGGCAUAAUUGUGCUAUCUCCAUACAUCUUUUAUUAGUAAUGUUAAUUUUUCAUUAAAUAGCCAAGUUUGAAUGCAAACUUGAUUAUUUUUUUACAAUCAAACAAAUGCAAACUUACAAGGAUGAGUUAAA